RNAcentral lists this ribosomal RNA (1602 nucleotides) under Triticum aestivum (bread wheat). RNAcentral's name for it is "partial small subunit ribosomal RNA". Lineage: Eukaryota; Viridiplantae; Streptophyta; Magnoliopsida; Poales; Poaceae. The record is from RNAcentral.
AUGUCCAAGCUUGUGGGACUGCAAUUCUCGUUCAAGUACCGGCGCGGUGUUGACAAUGGUGCCGCAGAUGCAUUGUCUCGCGUCGGGCAUCUUCUUUCCCUCGAUGCCAUCUCCGUGUGCCAACCACAGUGGCUGCAAGAAGUCGCGAACUCAUACGAGACGGACGCUGACGCCCAAGAUCUGCUGCAACGGUUGGCUGUCUUCAGUCCGGAUGAGCAUGGCUACGAGCUCAGGCAAGGCGUGAUCCGCCUUCAGGACCGGCUAUGGAUUGGUGCCAACACUGCACUCCAGACCAAACUAAUCAGUGCUUUCCAUGCCAGCGCAAUUGGGGGUCACUCUGGAGUCACGACCACAUAUCAGCGCCUCAAGAAGCUAUUUGCCUGGCGGGGCCUCAAGCAGGCCGUGGAGGAAUUCGUGCACCAGUGUGCCGUUUGCCAACACGCCAAGCACGAGCAUAUCAAGCCACCCGGACUGCUGGAACCUCUGCCCAUCCCUACAGAGCCGUGGCAUGACCUCACCAUGGACUUCAUCGAAGGUUUGCCACUGUCUGAGGGCUGUGAGGUGAUCAUGGUCGUUGUUGACCGGUUCACUAAGUACGCGCAUUUUGUGCCCUUGCGUCACCCCUUCACAGCAGCAACAGUGGCGCGUGCAUUCUGGGACAGCAUCAUCAAGCUGCACGGGGUGCCACACUCGAUUGUCUCGGAUCGCGAUCCUAUCUUCACCAGCAAAAUGUGGCGUGCUCUCCACGACACCGCCGGCACCAAGCUCAGUUACUCGACAGCAUAUCACCCUCAGACGGAUGGACAGAGCGAGCGCGUCAAUCAAUGCCUCGAGAUGUAUCUGCGAUGUGCGGUGCAUGACAAUCCCAAGCAGUGGCGAAAGUGGCCGUCCACGGCUGAGUUCUGGUACAAUACCACCUAUCACUCAUCGCUAAACACAACACCGUUCCAGGCACUCUACGGCAAAGAACCCAACCUGGGUGGUCUACCUACUUUGGCCACCAGGUUGCCCGCGGAUGCAAGCACCGAGCUGGACUGGGCAACUCACAGUGGCUGGCUCCGUGAUCAAUUGGCGCGGGCUCAAAACAGGUGCAAGCAAAAGACUGAUCGCAAUCGUACAGAGCGUUCCUUAGAAGUGGGUGAUUCAGUGCUGCUCAAGCUUCAGCCAUAUACACAGUCAACAGUGGCUAACCGCCCGUACCCCAAAUUGGCGUACAAGUUCUUUGGUCCAUUUCAGAUUCUGGAACGCAUUGGUCCUUUGGCUUACAAGCUCCAGUUGCCGGACGACGGUCGCAUACACCCAGUUUUUCAUGUCUCGCAGCUCAAGCCCUUCACUCCGGACUACAGUCCAGUUUUCUCAGAGCUACCCCGUGCACCGAACCUCACAGCGGCACCGGUACAACCUAUUGCCAUUCUCGAACGUCGCAUGGUGAAGAAAGGCAACAACUCAAUUGUGCAGGUCAAAGUUCAGUGGUCUUCGUUAGCUCCUGAAUCCUCGACCUGGGAGGAUUAUUCUGUGCUCCGUCAGCGCUACCCGGAGGCAAGCUGUUGGGAUGAAGACGCUCGCGCUCAAGGGGAGGCAAAUGUCACACCUGAUACAUGA